AGCUCCAAUAGCGUAUAUUAAAGUUGUUGUGGUUAAAAAGCUCGUAGUUGCAUUUCCGAGGCAAGGGAUUAGUCCGACCUUUGGUGGGUAUUUAAUCCUCUUGCCUCGUCCUUGAGUGGUGCUUCUUGGUAUUAAGUUAUCGAGGAGAUAGCCGCUCAUCGUUUACUGUGAGAAAAUUAGAGUGUUCAAAGCAGGCUUAUGCCGUUGAAUAUAUUAGCAUGGAAUAAUAAGAUAGGACCUCGGUACUAUUUUGUUGGUUUGAGAACCAAGGUAAUGAUGAAUAGGGACAGUUGGGGGUAUUCGUAUUCAGUUGUCAGAGGUGAAAUUCUUAGAUUUACGGAAGACGAACUACUGCGAAAGCAUUUACCAAGGAUGUUUUCA
RNAcentral lists this ribosomal RNA (381 nucleotides) under uncultured marine Chaetocerotaceae. Its description in RNAcentral is "SSU rRNA". It matches the Rfam family "Eukaryotic small subunit ribosomal RNA", at positions 587 to 972 of the family's 1831-position model. Lineage: Eukaryota; Bacillariophyta; Thalassiosirophyceae; Chaetocerotales; Chaetocerotaceae. The record is from RNAcentral.